Molecule: unclassified non-coding RNA, 3266 nt
Filed under: Hevea brasiliensis (rubber tree)
Lineage: Eukaryota; Viridiplantae; Streptophyta; Magnoliopsida; Malpighiales; Euphorbiaceae
Source: RNAcentral
CUGCCUUAAUCUCACCUUAUCUAAACUCCAACCACAACCUUCAAUACACACAUCAUCUCCUCCUUCCACAUCACUUUUUAUCAAAUAUAUUCACACCAAUCUUACCAUUAGACUCAUCAUCUUUGUUAAGGGGAAAAAAAGAGAGAGAAAUUUAGAUAUUUUUUUCAGCAAUGGCAGCCAUGAACUCUAGUGUUUUGGCAUGCAAUUAUGCCAUUUCAGGCACUGGAUCUGGGUCAUCUGAGCUUGGCUCAAAGCUUGCUUCAAUACCUGCAGGUGUUUCCUCUGGCCCCAAGUUGCCUGUGAUCAGAGCCCAGAAAGCUAGAGCUUCUUCUGAAUCCAAAAGUGAGGGAAGGAGAGCUGCUAUGCUUUGUCUUGCAGCUACCGUUUUCACCUCUGCUGCUGCUGCUUCCUCUGCCAAUGCUGGAGUCAUUGAAGAAUACCUUGAAAAGAGCAAGGCUAACAAGGAACUGAACGACAAAAAGAGGUUGGCCACAAGUGGUGCAAAUUUUGCAAGAGCAUACACAGUGGAAUUUGGUUCAUGCCAGUUCCCUGAGAAUUUCACUGGCUGCCAAGAUCUUGCCAAGCAAAAGAAAGUGCCUUUUCUCUCUGAAGAUUUGGCUUUGGAGUGUGAAGGGAAGGACAAAUACAAGUGUGGCUCUAAUGUUUUCUGGAAAUGGUGAAGUGGUCAAGGUUUCUCUUCAAAUUUCCCCUUUUCCAACAUGUAUCUAGAUCAUCCAAGAAUUAAACUUUACAUCCAUUAGAACUCUAAUUUUCUUUUCAUAAUUUGUUCCCGUCUUUUAUUUUUUAUUUUUUUAUUUAACUUAAGUUGAUAUUUAGAACGCAAGAACAAUCCCAUCUAAAGAGAAUGCGAGAACAGGAUAUUGAAUGAUCAUCCCAACUUUAAACCUGAUUCAUGGCUACAUUUGUUUGUUUUCCAACCUAAACUUAAAUUUGGAUUUUGCUUUGUUUGUUUUCCAACCUCAACUUAAAUUUGGAUUUUGUUUGUACUUAACUGAGCCCUAAUUCCAAUCUGGUUGGACUGCUGAAGUUUGUUUCAACAUAACUUUGAUAUAUCUUCUUGCAAGGUUCCAUUUCUCUAAUGUGGUUGCUUUUUGUUCUUGAACUUAUCAUCAUUUCUUCCCUUGUCUAAUUCACAUUCACUUUUGACAACGCUCUGUUGUCUUGUGAACAGAGCAUUCUCUCGCCUAUCCAUAAAAAUUUCUGCUUUGGAUUGAUAAGGCUGGAUACAUGGCCAUUCAUGAUCACCUUAGGCUCUAACAAGUAUAGGCCAGCUCCCUGGAGCUUUCCUUAAAAGCAAAGUUCCAUUUUUCUAUGACUAGAACCAGCUCCCUUAUCACAAGAAUACUUAAGAGUUGAUGGGUAGUUUUAGCCUAACUCUUCUUUCAAGUGUUCAUGAUAGUGCAUCAUACAUAGAGGAACCUUUUAGGAUUUCUGAAGCACUUCAAUAUCAUAGCACAGAAAGAAAAUAUUUACAUUUGCAAUGGCAUUGAAAAAAAGCCAUGGACUAAAGAAGGUAAUAUUUUCUACAAAUAAUGGUCACAAACUUAGGAUAGAAGUUUUCUUAUGUACUUCAACAAUUCCAAGUAUGAGUUAAAUUUUCCUCUAUAUGCCUAUGGGUUUCUGCAUUGAAAAUGAUAAAGUAAAUCAAAAUAAACCAUGUUAAAAUUUUAGAACAUUGCACAUCAUUCUAAAUGAACUUUAUGGUGUUGUGUACUUCGCAUAUCCUUGAACCUUCUGUUUAAACAUGCCCAUUUUCUGAACCAUGUGAAUGAAUAUUUGAAGUCAUUUCAGAUUGUAUUGCAUUACAGGCUGUGCAGUUGCUUGCUAGGGGGUUUUUCCCUAGUUUAGGAUAUGAAUUAGUCACUUUGAUAUUUAAUCAUUUAUACCACUUGAUAAAAUGUAGGUUGAGAACCCUUGCUCAAUAAAGUCAUCAAAGUGAAUGAUGCUUAUUAACUAUGAAAGUUAUUUUCAGUGUUCUAAGUGUUGAAAAACAGCAUCAAUUUAUCGUAAGCAUGAUAGCUUUAUUCUCUUUUUCCCUUUAAUAUAAACCUCAUUUACUCUCAACUCAAAUUGCUUGUCUUAAAUCUUUGUUUCUGUAGUUGGUGAUUAAACAUUCUUUCAGUUUGACUCUUUCUCCUUUCAGACCUUGAUCUGUAUUAUGUACUUUCUAUGUGAAGAGGUACCUUGCUGAUUCAUUUGCUAAAAGAGGAGACAGCUUAUUGAUCAAAUUUCUUUUGAGAAAAGGCGGACUGUUGAUUUUCACAACUUGAUAAUGGAUAUUUGGAUUUGGUUUUAUUAGUUUGCAUUCUUUGAUUCUUAAUGCCAAACACUGAAGUGUUCCUUUUUUACAUGUAGCUUCCACGGAUUCGUUUCUUGUUGUCCAGAAUGAUGGUGAGGAUCCACUGAAAGUGAAUAUUACAAUCGUAGAUAUUGAGAUUGCUAUCCCAGAGAUACAAGUACCUAAACACAAAGCCAAAAAGAUCAAAAUCAUGGCAAACAUUGAAGGAAGUCCAUCUAUAAUAAUAAAAUCUGGAAUUGGGAAAUGUACAAUUCCCAUUGGAUCAAAGAAACAAAGUAGUGGAUUUUAUAAGCAGUUAGCCACCCAUUUAUCCCCCAUCUAUGGGGCCUACCUAUUGUUUUUUACAUUUCUGAUUGUUGGAACGGUAUGGGUUUGUUGUAAGAUUGGGAAAAAUGAAUGGCAUGAUGGUGGAGUCCGGUAUCAAGAACUAGAAAUGGGGCAACCGGAAUCCCACUUGGCUAAUGAUGUGGAAAUGGCAGUCGGAUGGAAUGAAGGUUGGGAUGAUGACUGGGUUGAGCAACAGGAAGUGAAAUCACCGGAUGAACAUCUAACAGAAAAUGUUGCAACCAAUGGACAUAAUUCCACAAGUUCUGAUAAAGAUGGAUGGGGAAAUGACUGGGAUGAUUAGAGCAAGAAUAAGAUUGGAACCCUUGGAUUAGAAAGAUGACAAGGAGGAAACAGAAACAACAAAAAGGUUAAACAAAAGAAAGAAACAAAAAGGAAGAUCAAUAGAUGUAGAAAGGAAUGGAAACUGCGGCAGGAUGUAGAUGUAAAAUUGAGUUUUUAUUAUUUCUAUGUUUAAGCUAAUGUGGAAAGCAGGUUGAGAUAUAUAUAAUGUCAUAUUGGAAACAAUUUUGGUACGUCAAACAAGUUUGUUACUCUUUGAAAUUUGCAGGCUUGUUUCACCUGAAUUAUAUUAUAUGCAAGAAUUAGGUUACCAAUUCAC